UUGCUUUAAUUUAAUCAUAGACUCAGACAUAUGACACGAUUCAUUCAGAGUUUGAGUGGUUGGCCAUCGGCGGACGCGGGCCAGAGGACGCCUUUCAGCGGUCCUCCGGCGGCCGUGAGACGGGUCCGCCGAAGCAACAGAGGUUCAAUAAACAAAGGGUUGGGAGAUCGGGCCUAGAAGACCCUAACUCUUUAAUGAUCCUUCCGCAGGUUCACCUACGGAAA
RNAcentral lists this unclassified non-coding RNA (224 nucleotides) under uncultured fungus. RNAcentral describes it as "sequence contains ITS1". Lineage: Eukaryota; Fungi. The record is from RNAcentral.